GUCUUUGCGCUUGGGGCAAUGAUGCAGCUCAUGAGGUUCUAACCGAGGCGCGUCUAUUGCUGGUUGAAAACUAUUUCCAAACCCCCUCUUAGGCUUGGGCUUGCCCGCGGCCUUAGAGAAUUUCUGGAAGGGCUUCCUUCGGGGUAAAGCC
This is a small nuclear RNA of Hibiscus syriacus, 151 nucleotides long. RefSeq annotates it as U4 spliceosomal RNA. The record is from RefSeq and is a predicted model, not a curated record. The transcript has a single exon. Lineage: Eukaryota; Viridiplantae; Streptophyta; Magnoliopsida; Malvales; Malvaceae.